This 77-nucleotide transfer RNA is filed under the name Variovorax paradoxus. RNAcentral's name for it is "tRNA-Val". It matches the Rfam family "tRNA". Rfam says of the family: Transfer RNA (tRNA) molecules are approximately 80 nucleotides in length. Their secondary structure includes four short double-helical elements and three loops (D, anti-codon, and T loops). The record is from RNAcentral. Lineage: Bacteria; Pseudomonadati; Pseudomonadota; Betaproteobacteria; Burkholderiales; Comamonadaceae.
AGGCGCGUAGCUCAGCUGGUUAGAGCACCACCUUGACAUGGUGGGGGUCGUUGGUUCGAGUCCUAUGGCUUUUGCCA